CGCGUGUGUGAAGAAGCUGAGGGGUAUAAGCACUUUCAAUAGGAGGGAAUACUAUCGGUUAAUACCCGAGUAGACUGACAUUACCUAUACAAGAAGCACCGGCUAACUCCGUGCCAGCAGCCGCGGUAAUACGGAGGGUGCAAGCGUUAAUCGGAAUUACUGGGCGUAAAGCGUGCGUAGGCGGUUAUUUAAGUCAGAUGUGAAAGCCCUGGGCUUAACCUGGGAACUGCAUUUGAUACUGGAUGACUAGAGUUGAGUAGAGGAGAGUGGAAUUUCAGGUGUAGCGGUGAAAUGCGUAGAGAUCUGAAGGAACACCAGUGGCGAAGGCGGCUCUCUGGACUCAAACUGACGCUGAGGUACGAAAGCGUGGGUAGCAAACAGGAUUAGAUACCCUGGUAGUCCACGCCGUAAACGAUGUCAACUAACCGUUGGGUUCUUUAAGAACUUAGUGGUGGAGCUAACGUAUUAAGUUGACCGCCUGUGGAGUACGGACGCAAGGCUAAAACUCAAAUGAAUUGACGGGGGCCCGCACAAGCGGUGGAGCAUGUGGUUUAAUUCAAUGCAACGCGAAGAACCUUACCUACCCUUGACAUGUAGCGAAUCCUUUACAGAUAGAGGAGUGCCUUCGGGAACGCUANC
RNAcentral lists this ribosomal RNA (639 nucleotides) under uncultured bacterium. Its description in RNAcentral is "bacterial SSU rRNA". It matches the Rfam family "Bacterial small subunit ribosomal RNA", at positions 398 to 1033 of the family's 1533-position model. The record is from RNAcentral.